This 77-nucleotide ribosomal RNA is filed under the name Serratia marcescens. RNAcentral's name for it is "partial 16S ribosomal RNA". It matches the Rfam family "Bacterial small subunit ribosomal RNA", at positions 1 to 76 of the family's 1533-position model. Lineage: Bacteria; Pseudomonadati; Pseudomonadota; Gammaproteobacteria; Enterobacterales; Yersiniaceae. The record is from RNAcentral.
UUAAUUGAAGAGUUUGAUCAUGGCUCAGAUUGAACGCUGGCGGCAGGCUUAACACAUGCAAGUCGAGCGGUAGCACA